UACGGGGGGGGCAAGCGUUGUUCGGAUUUACUGGGCGUAAAGGGCGCGUAGGCGGCUUAACAAGUCACUUGUGAAAUCUCCGGGCUUAACUCGGAACGGCCAAGUGAAACUGUCAAGCUAGAGUGCAGAAGGGGCAAUCGGAAUUCUUGGUGCAGCGGUGAAAUGCGUAGAUAUCAAGAGGAACACCUGAGGUGAAGACGGGUUGCUGGGCUGACACUGACGCUGAGGCGCGAAAGCCAGGGGAGCAAACGGG
Molecule: ribosomal RNA, 253 nt
Filed under: uncultured bacterium
Lineage: Bacteria
Description: partial 16S ribosomal RNA
Rfam family: Bacterial small subunit ribosomal RNA
Source: RNAcentral